This 465-nucleotide ribosomal RNA is filed under the name uncultured bacterium. Its description in RNAcentral is "partial 16S ribosomal RNA". It matches the Rfam family "Bacterial small subunit ribosomal RNA", at positions 28 to 507 of the family's 1533-position model. The record is from RNAcentral.
GACGAACGCUGGCGGCGUGCUUAACACAUGCAAGUCGAACGGAAAGGCCCUGCUUGUAGGGUAUUCGAGAGGGGAAAGGGUGAGUAACACGCGGGUGUUCCGUGCUCCACAUUGGGAUAUGCCUUGGAAACUGGGGGUAAUAUCGCAUAGGAGCCAUUUUUCGUGUGGUGGUUGGAAAGUAUUUUGGGUGUAGGAUGGGUUGGCGGCCUAUCAGGUUGUUGGUGGGGUAAUGGCCUACCAAGGCGGGGAUGGGUAGCCGGCCGGGGAGGGUGGACGGCCAAAUUGGGACUGAGAAACCGGCCAGACUCCCACGGGGGGGAGGAGGGGGGAAAAUUUGAACAAGGGCGGGAGCCUGAUGCAGCGACGGCGCGUGGGGGAUGGCGGCCUUCGGGUUGGAAACUCCUUUCGCUAGGUACGAAGCUUUUUGUGACGGUACCUAGAUAAGAAGCACCGGCUAACUACGUG